Molecule: ribosomal RNA, 580 nt
Filed under: Hanseniaspora uvarum
Lineage: Eukaryota; Fungi; Ascomycota; Saccharomycetes; Saccharomycodales; Saccharomycodaceae
Description: eukaryotic LSU rRNA
Rfam family: Eukaryotic large subunit ribosomal RNA
Source: RNAcentral
CGGAGGAAAAGAAACCAACUGGGAUUACCUUAGUAACGGCGAGUGAAGCGGUAAAAGCUCAAAUUUGAAAUCUGGUACUUUCAGUGCCCGAGUUGUAAUUUGUAGAAUUUGUCUUUGAUUAGGUCCUUGUCUAUGUUCCUUGGAACAGGACGUCAUAGAGGGUGAGAAUCCCGUUUGGCGAGGAUACCUUUUCUCUGUAAGACUUUUUCGAAGAGUCGAGUUGUUUGGGAAUGCAGCUCAAAGUGGGUGGUAAAUUCCAUCUAAAGCUAAAUAUUGGCGAGAGACCGAUAGCGAACAAGUACAGUGAUGGAAAGAUGAAAAGAACUUUGAAAAGAGAGUGAAAAAGUACGUGAAAUUGUUGAAAGGGAAGGGCAUUUGAUCAGACAUGGUGUUUUUUGCAUGCACUCGCCUCUCGUGGGCUUGGGCCUCUCAAAAAUUUCACUGGGCCAACAUCAAUUCUGGCAGCAGGAUAAAUCAUUAAGAAUGUAGCUACUUCGGUAGUGUUAUAGCUUUUUGGAAUACUGUUAGCCGGGAUUGAGGACUGCGCUUCGGCAAGGAUGUUGGCAUAAUGGUUAAAUGC